AGCAGCCGCGGUAAUUCCAGCUCCAAUAGCGUAUAUUAAAGUUGUUGCAGUUAAAAAGCUCGUAGUUGAAUUUCGGGAUCAAUAUGUUGGUCGUGCCUUGGUACGUACUAAUUUAUUGGUUUCUUCCUUCUGACGAACCAUGAUGUCAUUAAUUUGGUGUUAUGGGGAAUCAGGACUGUUACUUUGAAAAAAUUAGAGUGUUUAAAGCAGGCUCACGCUUGAAUACAUUAGCAUGGAAUAAUGAAAUAGGACGUUUGAUUCUAUUUUGUUAGUUUCUAGGAUCGACGUAAUGAUUAAUAGGGAUAGUUGGGGGCAUUAGUAUUCAAUUGUCAGAGGUGAAAUUCUUGGAUUUAUUGAAGACUAACUACUGCGAAAGCAUUUGCCAAGGAUGUUUUCAUUAAUCAAGAACGAAAGUUAGGGGAUCGAAGACGAUCAGAUACCGUCGUAGUCUUAACCAUAAACUAUGCCGACUAGGGAUCGGAUGAUGUUAAUUUUUUAAUGUACUCAUUCGGCGCCUUAC
RNAcentral lists this ribosomal RNA (520 nucleotides) under uncultured Glomeromycotina. Its description in RNAcentral is "SSU rRNA". It matches the Rfam family "Eukaryotic small subunit ribosomal RNA", at positions 569 to 1091 of the family's 1831-position model. The record is from RNAcentral. Lineage: Eukaryota; Fungi; Glomeromycota.